AACCAAAGUCCGUUGCGAUCCACAGCCG
RNAcentral lists this small RNA (28 nucleotides) under Bombyx mori (domestic silkworm). RNAcentral describes it as "ovarian small RNA-10271". The record is from RNAcentral. Lineage: Eukaryota; Metazoa; Arthropoda; Insecta; Lepidoptera; Bombycidae.